This 72-nucleotide transfer RNA is filed under the name Eurypyga helias (sunbittern). It matches the Rfam family "tRNA". From Rfam's summary of the family: Transfer RNA (tRNA) molecules are approximately 80 nucleotides in length. Lineage: Eukaryota; Metazoa; Chordata; Aves; Eurypygiformes; Eurypygidae. The record is from Rfam by way of RNAcentral.
GUGUUGGUCGUACAGUGGUGAGCAUAGCUGCCUUCCAAGCAGUUGACCUGGGUUCGAUUCCUGGCCAACGCA